GAUGAACGCUGGCGGCGUGCCUAAUACAUGCAAGUCGAGCGAACGGACGAGAAGCUUGCUUCUCUGAUGUUAGCGGCGGACGGGUGAGUAACACGUGGAUAACCUACCUAUAAGACUGGGAUAACUUCGGGAAACCGGAGCUAAUACCGGAUAAUAUUUUGAACCGCAUGGUUCAAAAGUGAAAGACGGUCUUGCUGUCACUUAUAGAUGGAUCCGCGCUGCAUUAGCUAGUUGGUAAGGUAACGGCUUACCAAGGCAACGAUGCAUAGCCGACCUGAGAGGGUGAUCGGCCACACUGGAACUGAGACACGGUCCAGACUCCUACGGGAGGCAGCAGUAGGGAAUCUUCCGCGAUGGGCGAAAGCCUGACGGAGCAACGCCGCGUGAGUGAUGAAGGUCUUCGGAUCGUAAAACUCUGUUAUUAGGGAAGAACAAAUGUGUAAGUAACUGUGCACGUCUUGACGGUACCUAAUCAGAAAGCCACGGCUAACUACGUG
RNAcentral lists this ribosomal RNA (497 nucleotides) under uncultured bacterium. RNAcentral's name for it is "partial 16S ribosomal RNA". It matches the Rfam family "Bacterial small subunit ribosomal RNA", at positions 28 to 507 of the family's 1533-position model. The record is from RNAcentral.